AUCGAUAGGGCUGCUUAGCAGGUUACUGUGAUAUAGUAAUGGUAAGGUUUUAAUCUUCGUCGAUA
Molecule: transfer RNA, 65 nt
Filed under: Echinostomatidae sp. MSB para 30070
Lineage: Eukaryota; Metazoa; Platyhelminthes; Trematoda; Plagiorchiida; Echinostomatidae
Description: tRNA-Ile
Source: RNAcentral